This 497-nucleotide ribosomal RNA is filed under the name uncultured bacterium. RNAcentral describes it as "partial 16S ribosomal RNA". It matches the Rfam family "Bacterial small subunit ribosomal RNA", at positions 28 to 507 of the family's 1533-position model. The record is from RNAcentral.
GAUGAACGCUGGCGGCGUGCCUAAUACAUGCAAGUCGAGCGAACAGACGAGGAGCUUGCUCCUCUGACGUUAGCGGCGGACGGGUGAGUAACACGUGGAUAACCUACCUAUAAGACUGGGAUAACUUCGGGAAACCGGAGCUAAUACCGGAUAAUAUAUUGAACCGCAUGGUUCAAUAGUGAAAGACGGUUUUGCUGUCACUUAUACAUGGAUCCGCGCCGCAUUAGCUAGUUGGUAAGGUAACGGCUUACCAAGGCGACGAUGCGUAGCCGACCUGGGAGGGUGAUCGGCCACACUGGAACGGAGACACGGUCCAGACUCCGACGGGAGGCAGCAGUAGGGAAUCUUCCGCAAUGGGCGAAAGCCUGACGGAGCAACGCCGCGUGAGUGAUGAAGGUCUUCGGAUCGUAAAACUCUGUUAUUAGGGAAGAACAAAUGUGUAAGUAACUAUGCACGUCUUGACGGUACCUAAUCAGAAAGCCACGGCUAACUACGUG